RNAcentral lists this transfer RNA (173 nucleotides) under Elgaria kingii. Its description in RNAcentral is "tRNA-Asn". The stretch from base 101 to 173 matches the Rfam family "tRNA". Lineage: Eukaryota; Metazoa; Chordata; Lepidosauria; Squamata; Anguidae. The record is from RNAcentral.
UUUUCUUAUCAGGUCCCGAGGUAAAAUCACCAGGCUGCAAACCUGGAAAAGAGACGUUAAGAUCUCCGGGGCUUCUCCCGUUUUUCUCUAACGGGAGAAGUAGAUAGAAGCUCACUGGAUUGAGUGAUUAGCUGUUAAUUAAUUGUUUACGGGAUCGAGGCCCGUCUGUCUAG